Long non-coding RNA from Pipra filicauda (Wire-tailed manakin), 400 nucleotides. RefSeq lists it as uncharacterized. The transcript has 2 exons. The record is from RefSeq and is a predicted model, not a curated record. NCBI's taxonomy places the organism in Eukaryota, Metazoa, Chordata, Aves, Passeriformes, Pipridae.
GGUUCUACAUGGAAGCUGUUGGCUCAAAGCAGACAAAGAGGCCUGGAGUGUUGCUGCGGGAGGCUGAAGGGAGAGCAGAGCCCAUGGAAGAGCUGAUGGUCCUGCCAUGUCCCACCAUCUCCGGCAAAGGAGUUUGUGUAGUGGUGUCCAUGGAGUGAAAUAUUCCCAGUGAAGCUGUGAGUGGCACAGAGGAGCUCGUUGAGACCCUGACCAUCCAUGGGCAGAGCAGUUUGAUCACUCCCUGUACUGUCACAAGUUCUUCCAGCACCUCCCGAGCUUCUUCUGAAUGCCAGUGCUACAAACUACUCAUCUCACUGGGUUAUACUCCUCAGAAAGCAAAGCUACACUCCAGAACCUCCUCCUAGCCAGGACCUAAAUACAAGUAGAAUUUAAAUUGUAA